Molecule: non-coding RNA, 157 nt
Organism: Mus caroli (Ryukyu mouse)
Lineage: Eukaryota; Metazoa; Chordata; Mammalia; Rodentia; Muridae
Product: small Cajal body-specific RNA 16
Source: RefSeq, a predicted model, not a curated record
AUGAAACAAGGAAGACAAAACAGCCAGAUAGCCCUACUUUGACCUAAAGUAAAAUCCCAGAGGAGGAGGAUCGUCUUCCCUGGGGUUAGAAUUUGCAGUAACAGGUGUGGAUAUCCUAGCAGCAGUUUGGUGGUCAUGCAUGAUACUGCAAACAGGA